This 480-nucleotide ribosomal RNA is filed under the name uncultured bacterium. RNAcentral describes it as "partial 16S ribosomal RNA". It matches the Rfam family "Bacterial small subunit ribosomal RNA", at positions 28 to 523 of the family's 1533-position model. The record is from RNAcentral.
GACGAACGCUGGCGGCGUGCUUAACACAUGCAAGUCGAGCGGAAAGGCCCUUUCGGGGGUACUCGAGCGGCGAACGGGUGAGUAACACGUGAGUAAUCUGCCCCUGGCUUUGGGAUAGCCACCGGAAACGGUGAUUAAUACGGGAUACGACCACUUCUCGCAUGGGAUGGUGGUGGAAAGUUUUUCGGCCAGGGAUGUGCUCGCGGCCUAUCAGCUUGAUGGUGAGGUAAUGGCUCACCAUGGCUUCGACGGGUAGCCGGCCUGAGAGGGUGGCCGGUCACACUGGGACUGGGACACGGCCCAGACUCCUACGGGAGGCAGCAGUGGGGAAUAUUGGACAAUGGGCGGAAGCCUGAUCCAGCAACGCCGCGUGAGGGAUGACGGCCUUCGGGUUGUAAACCUCUUUCAGCAGGGACGAAGCGCAAGUGACGGUACCUGCAGAAGAAGCACCGGCCAACUACGUGCCAGCCGCCGCCGUAA